GCAGCAUUCCGAGUAACUCCUCAACCUGGAGUUCCACCUAAAGAAGCAAGUGCCGCUAGGGCCCAAACUCCAACAGGAGGCAGUAGUGGAGAAUUUUCUGCAAUGAGCGAAAGCUUGAUGGAGCAAUGUCGUGUGGAGGUAGAAGACUUAUGACUCGUGAACUUCUUUUCUCGGAGAAGAAGCAAUGGUGAUAUUCAGGGAAUAAAUGUCGAUUAACUCUGUGCUAGCAAUCGUGGUGAGAUAAAGGAUGCA
Ribosomal RNA from Lupinus angustifolius (narrow-leaved blue lupine), 252 nucleotides. It matches the Rfam family "Bacterial small subunit ribosomal RNA", at positions 39 to 536 of the family's 1533-position model. Lineage: Eukaryota; Viridiplantae; Streptophyta; Magnoliopsida; Fabales; Fabaceae. The record is from Rfam.